GGCAACAGUAAUAGCGUCACUGUAUUGAUCAUUCAGCACUGUGUGGCAUAAGAGCAGUGCCAAGGGUGAAAUAUAUGCUCCCUUCUAAGUCUUGGCUGGCUUGUAGCAGGGAACUCAGGAGACAACUUGGAGCUUGCCAACAGAACCAUAGCCAAAUCCAUCAAAGGAGGAAAGGAGAUAGCAGGACCCAGGUGACCAUUUUUACCAAUCAGACAGGAUUAGUGGUUUUCCAGGCUGAGUUACCAAAGAGGUCAGAGAAGAGGCAUGUGAGCAGGACAACAUGAAGAAGCUUGCACUGCCACUGCACAUGCUUUACCUGAUGUGCAGCUAAAGGACUUCAUUCUCCACCUACAGACAAUUCUGUUACUUUUCAUGAACAUAUAGUUCACUUACAUUCCCCAAGCCAGUGUUAGGAUUAUUUCACUGUUACUACAAAGUUUGCUGGUAUUUUUAUGAGUAAGCUCUGAAAAGUAA
Mauremys reevesii (Reeves's turtle) is the source of this 474-nucleotide long non-coding RNA. RefSeq lists it as uncharacterized. The transcript has 3 exons. Lineage: Eukaryota; Metazoa; Chordata; Testudines; Geoemydidae. The record is from RefSeq and is a predicted model, not a curated record.